GCCUACGGGGCGCAGCAGUGGGGAAUAUUGCACAAUGGGGGAAACCCUGAUGCAGCAACGCCGCGUGAGUGAGGAAGUAUUUCGGUAUGUAAAGCUCUAUCAGCAGGGAAUAGAAAAGAAGGUACCUGAAAAAGAAGCCCCGGCUAACUACGUGCCAGCAGCCGCGGUAAUACGUAGGGGGCAAGCGUUAUCCGGAUUUACUGGGUGUAAAGGGAGCGUAGACGGCUGGUCAAGUCUGAAGUGAAAGCCCGGGGCUUAACCCCGGAACGGCUUUGGAAACUGAGCAGCUAGAGUGCUGGAGAGGU
Molecule: ribosomal RNA, 305 nt
Filed under: uncultured bacterium
Lineage: Bacteria
Description: bacterial SSU rRNA
Rfam family: Bacterial small subunit ribosomal RNA
Source: RNAcentral